Molecule: long non-coding RNA, 245 nt
Filed under: Phoenix dactylifera (date palm)
Lineage: Eukaryota; Viridiplantae; Streptophyta; Magnoliopsida; Arecales; Arecaceae
Description: long non-coding RNA (PDAC_LNC016208)
Source: RNAcentral
AAUUGGUUCCCAGUUUGCUUGAAAUUUUGUGGUGAUUGUUUGAUUUUAAUUUCAGUAAAAGUGUGAAUGCAUGCUUAAUACACAUACACCAAUUAAUCCGUACAUAGUAAGGGCAAUCACCCCAACAAGAUAAGAACUGGAUUUCAUCACCAGAUUCUUGCCCAAAUUAGGUGAACCAAUUCGCACAUAGCUAUCACUUUAAUUAAAAUCAAUUAGACGUUGGCUCCUAGGGAUAUUCGAGCUCA